RNAcentral lists this ribosomal RNA (419 nucleotides) under Membracioides sp. UCR ENT 00077334. RNAcentral's name for it is "partial large subunit ribosomal RNA". The record is from RNAcentral. Lineage: Eukaryota; Metazoa; Arthropoda; Insecta; Hemiptera; Schizopteridae.
GUCUUUUUGUAAUUUUAUUUAAAGUCUAACCUGCCCAAUGAUUUAUAUUUAAUGGCUGCAGUAUUUUAACUGUACGAAGGUAGCAUAAUCAUUUGUUUAUUAAUUGUAGACUUGUAUGAAGGGUCUUAUAAAGAUUAAACUUUCUUAUUUAUAUAUAUAUGAAUUUAAUUUUUUAGUUAGAAAGCUAAGAUUUUUUUAUAGGACGAGAAGACCCUAUAGAACUUAAACUUAUAUAAUAAUAUUAAUAUUAUUAUAUAAGUUGAGUUGGGGAGAUUUUAAUUUUUAAUUAACAAUUAUUUAUUUUGAUCAAUAAUUUUUGAUUUUUUGAUCCAAUUUUUUUUUGAUUAUAAGAUUAAGUUACCUUAGGGAUAACAGCGUAAUUUAUUUGGAGAGUUCUUAUCGAUAAUUUAAGUUUGCGA